GACGAACGCUGGCGGCGCGCCUAACACAUGCAAGUCGAACGGAGACUGUUCAUCGGAAGUUUUCGGAUGGAAGAAGGACAGUUUUAGUGGCGGACGGGUGAGUAACACGUGAGCAACCUGCCUUUCAGAGGGGGAUAACAGUUGGAAACGACUGCUAAUACCGCAUGACAUUAGGGGAGGGCAUCCUCUUCUAAUCAAAGGAGCAAUCCGCUGAAAGAUGGGCUCGCGGCCGAUUAGCUGGAUGGCGGGGUAGAGGCCCACCAUGGCGACGAUCGGUAGCCGGACUGAGAGGUUGAACGGCCACAUUGGGACUGAGACACGGCCCAG
RNAcentral lists this ribosomal RNA (327 nucleotides) under uncultured bacterium. RNAcentral describes it as "bacterial SSU rRNA". It matches the Rfam family "Bacterial small subunit ribosomal RNA", at positions 28 to 334 of the family's 1533-position model. The record is from RNAcentral.